GGUAACUAACCACACCACCACUACCUUGUUCAUAGGUUACUAACCACACCACCACUACCUUAUUCAGAGGUAACUAACCACACCACCACCUUGUUAAUAGGUAACUAACCCCACCACCACUACCUUAUUCAUCGGUAACUAACCACACCACCACUACCUUGUUCAUAGGUAACUAACCCCACCACCACUACCUUAUUCAUAGGUAACUAACCACACCACCACUACCUUGUUCAUCGCUAACUAACCACACCGCCACCGCCUUAUUCAUAGGUAACUAACCACACCACCUUGUUCAUAAGUAACUAACCACACCACCACCUUCUUCAUAGGUAACUAACCACACCACCACUACCUUAUUCAUAGGUAACUAACCACACCACCUUCUUCAUAGGUAACUAACCACACCACCACUACCUUGUUCAUAGGUAACUAACCACACCACCACUACCUUGUUCAUAGGUUACUAACCACACCACCACUACCUUAUUCAUAGGUAACUAACCACACCACCACUACCUUGUUCAUAGCUAACUAACCACACCGCCACUGCCUUAUUCAUAGGUAACUAACCACACCACCACCACCUUAUUCAUAGGUAACUAACCACACCACCACUACCUUAUUCAUAGGUAACUAACCACACCACCACUACCUUGUUCAUAGGUAACUAACCACACCACCUUGUUCAUAGGUAACUAACCACACCACCACUACCUUGUUCAUAGGUUACUAACCACACCACCACUACCUUGUUCAUAGGUAACUAACCACACCACCACUACCUUGUUCAUAGGUAACUAACCACACCACCUUGUUCAUAG
This 821-nucleotide long non-coding RNA is filed under the name Salmo salar (Atlantic salmon). RNAcentral describes it as "lncRNA (ENSSSAG00000081740.1)". Lineage: Eukaryota; Metazoa; Chordata; Actinopteri; Salmoniformes; Salmonidae. The record is from RNAcentral.